Molecule: transfer RNA, 72 nt
Filed under: Camelus bactrianus (Bactrian camel)
Lineage: Eukaryota; Metazoa; Chordata; Mammalia; Artiodactyla; Camelidae
Also listed under: 1 other name
Rfam family: tRNA
About the family: Transfer RNA (tRNA) molecules are approximately 80 nucleotides in length. Their secondary structure includes four short double-helical elements and three loops (D, anti-codon, and T loops). Further hydrogen bonds mediate the characteristic L-shaped molecular structure. tRNAs have two regions of fundamental functional importance: the anti-codon, which is responsible for specific mRNA codon recognition, and the 3' end, to which the tRNAs corresponding amino acid is attached (by aminoacyl-tRNA synthetases). tRNAs cope with the degeneracy of the genetic code in two manners: having more than one tRNA (with a specific anti-codon) for a particular amino acid; and 'wobble' base-pairing, i.e. permitting non-standard base-pairing at the 3rd anti-codon position.
Source: Rfam by way of RNAcentral
GAAGGUAUAGCUCAGUGGUAGAGCACAUGCUUAGCAUGCACAAGGUCCUGGAUUCAAUCCCCAGUACCUCCA